This 564-nucleotide ribosomal RNA is filed under the name Triticum aestivum (bread wheat). RNAcentral describes it as "partial small subunit ribosomal RNA". The record is from RNAcentral. Lineage: Eukaryota; Viridiplantae; Streptophyta; Magnoliopsida; Poales; Poaceae.
AUGGAUAGCUCAAACUUUAAUAUUUUGUGUUGGAACGUACGAGGCCUUAAUGCUGGUGCGCGGCGUGCCUCUGUUCGCGACAUGGUCGUUUCCUCUCGCUCAUCUAUGGUAUGCCUUCAAGAAACUAAGCUAAGUGAUUUCGAUGCGUACACGGUGGCCCAAUGUCUUGGUUCCGCUCUCGACGGGUUCGCUUUUUUGCCAGCUCAUGGCACGAGGGGUGGUGUGCUCAUGGCUUGGGAUACAUCUAUGUUUCAUGCCAGUGCUAUAGAUAUCCGAGAUUUUUCAGUCUCAGUUCAGUUAUCUCGUGCCUCUUCACAGCCCUUCUGGGUUAGUUCAGUUUACGUGCUGCAGGAAGAUGCUGAUAAGCUCCGUUUUCUGGAGGAAAUCAGGACUAUCUGUAGCAGUGCCGAUGGUCCUUGGCUUCUAACCGGGGAUUUUAAUCUGAUCUUAAAUGCAGAAGACAAGAAUAAUCAAAACCUUAAUCGACGUAUGAUGGGUAAGUUCAGGAGAGUGGUUAAUGAUCUCCUUCUGCAGGACAGGUCGUGCCUUUACGUGGACGAAUGA